This 253-nucleotide ribosomal RNA is filed under the name uncultured bacterium. Its description in RNAcentral is "partial 16S ribosomal RNA". It matches the Rfam family "Bacterial small subunit ribosomal RNA", at positions 524 to 776 of the family's 1533-position model. The record is from RNAcentral.
GACAGAGGGGGCAAGCGUUGCUCGGAAUUACUGGGCGUAAAGGGCGCGUAGGCGGGAUGGCAAGUCGGUCGUGAAAUCCUUCGGCUCAACCGAAGAACGUCGAUCGAUACUGCUGUUCUAGAGGAUUGCAGAGGAGGCUGGAAUUCCCGGUGUAGCGGUGAAAUGUGUAGAGAUCGGGAGGAACACCGGUGGCGAAGGCGGGUCUCUGGGCAAUUCCUGACGCUGAGGCGCGAAAGCGUGGGGAGCAAACGGG